This 23-nucleotide microRNA is filed under the name Pteropus alecto (black flying fox). Its description in RNAcentral is "pal-miR-337-5p". Its record names the gene pal-miR-337-5p. The record is from miRBase by way of RNAcentral. Lineage: Eukaryota; Metazoa; Chordata; Mammalia; Chiroptera; Pteropodidae.
AGAACGGCCUCAUCCAGGAGUUG